This 110-nucleotide Y RNA is filed under the name Carlito syrichta (Philippine tarsier). RNAcentral's name for it is "Y RNA (ENSTSYG00000022783.2)". It matches the Rfam family "Y RNA". Rfam says of the family: Y RNAs are components of the Ro ribonucleoprotein particle (Ro RNP), in association with Ro60 and La proteins. The Y RNAs and Ro60 and La proteins are well conserved, but the function of the Ro RNP is not known. Lineage: Eukaryota; Metazoa; Chordata; Mammalia; Primates; Tarsiidae. The record is from Rfam by way of RNAcentral.
GGCUGGUCCAACGGCAGUGAGUUAUCUCAAUUGAAUGCUCACAGUCAGUUACAGACCGAAUUCCUUGUUCUCUUACCUCUCUUCUCACCACUGCACUUGAUCAUCUUCAA